This 433-nucleotide ribosomal RNA is filed under the name uncultured bacterium. RNAcentral's name for it is "partial 16S ribosomal RNA". It matches the Rfam family "Bacterial small subunit ribosomal RNA", at positions 28 to 507 of the family's 1533-position model. The record is from RNAcentral.
GACGAACGCUGGCGGCGUGCUUAACACAUGCAAGUCGAACGAGAAGUUCGGGCGUAGUGGCGCGGGCGUACGUAACGAUUGGGAACGUGCCCUUGGGUUGGGAAUCACUGCCAGCCUGGGGCGUUAAGGCCGGUUACUGUUGUAGGAGAAAAGAAUUACCGCCUUGGGAUGGGCCCGCGUUGGGUUAGGUGGUUGGUAGGGUAAAAGCCUACCAAGGCGACGAUUCAUAGCUGGUCUGAGAGGAGGACCAGGCACACUGGGACUGAGACACGGCCCAGACUCCUACGGGAGGCAGCAGUGGGGAAUAUUGGACAAUGGGCGAAAGCCUGAUCCAGCAAUGCCGCGUGAGUGAUGAAGUCCUUAGGUAUGUAAAGCUCUUUUACCCGGGAUGAUAAUGACAGUACCGGGAGAAGAAGCCCCGGCUAACUACGUG